RNAcentral lists this small RNA (1095 nucleotides) under Pan troglodytes (chimpanzee). Its description in RNAcentral is "retained intron". Lineage: Eukaryota; Metazoa; Chordata; Mammalia; Primates; Hominidae. The record is from RNAcentral.
GUUCCCAAAAAUGCCAAGGAAAAGGAAGUACCACUGGAGGAAGAAAUGCUAAUACAAUCAGAGAAAAAAACACAAUUAUCGAAGACUGAAUCUGUCAAAGAGUCAGAGUCUCUAAUGGAAUUUGCCCAGCCAGAGAUACAACCACAAGAGUUUCUUAACAGACGCUAUAUGACAGAAGUAGAUUAUUCAAACAAACAAGGCGAAGAGCAACCUUGGGAAGCGGAUUAUGCUAGAAAACCAAAUCUCCCAAAACGUUGGGAUAUGCUUACUGAACCAGAUGGUCAAGAGAAGAAACAGGAGUCCUUUAAGUCCUGGGAGGCUUCUGGUAAGCACCAGGAGAUAUCCAAGCCUGCAGUUUCCUUAGAACAGAGGAAACAAGACACCUCAAAACUCAGGUCUACUCUGCCGGAAGAGCAGAAGAAGCAGGAGAUCUCCAAAUCCAAGCCAUCUCCUAGCCAGUGGAAGCAAGAUACACCUAAAUCCAAAGCAGGGUAUGUUCAAGAGGAACAAAAGAAACAGGAGACACCAAAGCUGUGGCCAGUUCAGCUGCAGAAAGAACAAGAUCCAAAGAAGCAAACUCCAAAGUCUUGGACACCUUCCCUGCAGAGCGAACAGAACACCACCAAGUCAUGGACCACUCCCAUGUGUGAAGAACAGGAUUCAAAACAGCCAGAGACUCCAAAAUCCUGGGAAAACAAUGUUGAGAGUCAAAAACACUCUUUAACAUCACAGUCACAGAUUUCUCCAAAGUCCUGGGGAGUAGCUACAGCAAGCCUCAUACCAAAUGACCAGCUCCUGCCCAGGAAGUUGAACACAGAACCCAAAGAUGUGAGUUGAUCUGUAUCAUUCUGCUUCUGUCAGUGUAGGCAUAAAUAAGGUGUCGUGGUAAUGACUUUUUAGUUCUCUUUUUUUUUUUUUUUUGAGAUGGAGAAACACUCUUACCCAGGCUGGAGUGCAGUGGCACGAUCUCUGCUCACUGUAACCUCCGCCUCCUGGAUUCAAGCGAUUCUCCUGCCUCAGCCUCCUGAGUAGCUGGGACUACAGGCGCAUGCCACCACGCCUGGCUAAUUUUUUUGUAUUUUUAGUAGAGACGGG